Molecule: ribosomal RNA, 435 nt
Filed under: Triticum aestivum (bread wheat)
Lineage: Eukaryota; Viridiplantae; Streptophyta; Magnoliopsida; Poales; Poaceae
Description: partial small subunit ribosomal RNA
Source: RNAcentral
AUCUCCUUGACUAACGUUUACGCCCCCUCCGAUCACUCGCUGACCGAUGCUUUUGUCGAGGACAUGCUUGCUGUCCCUCUCUGUGUGACAGGGGCAUGGCUUGUGGUGGGCGAUUUUAACCUCAUCCGUCAUCCUAGCGAGAAGAGCGGCGACAACUACGACCCUGGCCGCGUUGCCCAUUUCAACUCGUUGAUCAACACGCUAGCCCCCCAUGAGCUUCACCUGUCCGGUCGUCUUUUCAGCUGGACCAAUUGGCAGACUCCCCCAAUUCUAGCUCGGCUUGAUCGUGCAUUCUUUGACAAUGCAUGGGACAUGUCCUUCUCGGACAUAGCCCUCGUGUCGCUCCCCCGUGCCACCUCAGAUCACGUCCCUCUCCUAGUCACGACCUCUACAAAAAUCCCGACUCCUUCCAGGUUUUUCUUUGAAACCGCGUGA